GCCCGCUCCUCGAAGGUGUCCUCCUGUGCCCGCUCCUCCUGUGCCCGCUCCUCGAAGGUGUCGUCCUGUGCCCGCUCCUCGAAGGUGUCAUCCUGUGCCCGCUCCUCCAGUGCCCGCUCCUCGAAGGUGUCGUCCAGUGCCCGCUCCUCGAAGGUGUCGUCCAGUGCCCGCUCCUCGAAGGUGUCCCCCUGUGCCUGCUCCUCGAAGGUGUCCUCCAGUGCCCGCUCCUCAAAAAAUGCCCACCCUCCCACUCACUCCUGCCUCCUCCACCACUGUUUGUCUGGCAGCCCUAUGUGGUGCGAGCCCUGCGGGACUGCCAUCCUCCAGUGUCACUGUGGUUGGAGUCUCCCUCACCUCCGCCUCUGAGGCCCGGACUCCGCCUUGGCCUGUAGUCCUAGUGGCUCUACCUCGGCUCCUAGCUCCCUUACCUCCACUGUCAACCAUUGAUCCAUCAGCUCCACUAGGCUCCCCCUCCCUCCGGCUCCGCCUUGGUCGGGCGUCAACCCGCCAUUACCUCUGGACUCCUCUCCACUGGCUGCGCUUAGUCGCUCCGUCCCACCAGCUCCAUUGGGCUUCUUCCUCCUGCCAGCUCCACCUUGGUCCUCAGUCGCUCUGGCUCCGCUGCAGAUCUCCGCCUCAGUCGCCAGAGCCCUCAGCUCCACCCUGGCCCCCCAAAUCCUCGGCAUCCCCCUGGCUCGUUG
This is a long non-coding RNA of Cyprinus carpio carpio, 701 nucleotides long. Lineage: Eukaryota; Metazoa; Chordata; Actinopteri; Cypriniformes; Cyprinidae. The record is from Ensembl.